UACGUAGGGACCAAGCGUUGUUCGGAUUUACUGGGCGUAAAGGGCGCGUAGGCGGCUUAACAAGUCACUUGUGAAAUCUCCGGGCUUAACUCGGAACGGCCAAGUGAAACUGUCAAGCUAGAGUGCAGAAGGGGCAAUCGGAAUUCUUGGUGUAGCGGUGAAAUGCGUAGAUAUCAAGAGGAACACCUGAGGUGAAGACGGGUUGCUGGGCUGACACUGACGCUGAAGUGCGAAAGCUAGGGGAGCGAACGGG
RNAcentral lists this ribosomal RNA (253 nucleotides) under uncultured bacterium. RNAcentral's name for it is "partial 16S ribosomal RNA". It matches the Rfam family "Bacterial small subunit ribosomal RNA", at positions 524 to 776 of the family's 1533-position model. The record is from RNAcentral.